RNAcentral lists this ribosomal RNA (468 nucleotides) under uncultured bacterium. RNAcentral's name for it is "partial 16S ribosomal RNA". It matches the Rfam family "Bacterial small subunit ribosomal RNA", at positions 28 to 507 of the family's 1533-position model. The record is from RNAcentral.
GAUGAACGCUGGCGGCGUGCUUAACACAUGCAAGUCGAACGGAAAGGCCCUGCUCUUGCGGGGUGCUCGAGUGGCGAACGGGUGAGUAACACGCGUGUAACCUCUCCUUGUCAUUGGGAUAACUCUAGGAAACUGCGGCUAAUACCGGAGAGGAGAUCCUGCUGCAUGGUGGGGGUUGGAAAGUUUCGGCGGUGGGGGAUGGUCUCGCGGCUUACCAGCUAGUUGGGGGGGUAGUUGCUUUCCAAGGCUUUGACGGGUAGCCGGCCUGAGAGGGGGACCAGCCUCCAUGGGCCUAAGAGAGGGACCAGAAUCCUACGGGCGGCAGCAGUCGGAAGUAUUACGCAAUGGGGGGACGCGUGUGACGGAGGCCCCGCGUGCGUAAUAACGGCUUACGGGUUAUGAACAGCUUUCGCCUGAAACGUGCCGUGCGUGACGGUAAUUGGUAAGAAAGCACCGGCUAACUACGUG